GGCAUUUUUUCCAGUGAACGUUUGUGGAGGAGCCUGACAGGCCGGAUUUACCGCCAACACCUCUGGAAAAACACACCGACGGAGAAGGAACAUGUGAGAGUGCAAUUAGAGAAAGACUUCCACACGUACGAGAUGCUGUUUGUUGGUUCAUUUUAUUUGCUCUUUCUCCACCAGAGGAAAAGAAGGAGGCAGAGGAGCCGAGAGUGGAGGAGGUUCUGUCGUGCAGGAGAAAGAGGAGACGGGUAGAAACAGAAGAGAGAAGGGGGAACCACGUGGAAGAACCAUCCCGUGACAACCGUCCAACUAGCAUGCAUAGGCAGUGAUUCUUCCAACAAGACAGCAGACGACUUACAGACAGUUAGACGGACGGACAUACACAGGACGAUACGAGGAGAUAGACGGAGGGAGGAGAAGCAGAUUUGGAGCAUCAUGCCUGCAGACCGGAACUCUGGAAGAUGGCAGUAGGAUCAUACAAAAAGACCAACUCGGCUGGUUUAACAAAGAUCGGUAAACCUUAAUGUCCACAGAAAUAUAUUUGGC
Amphiprion ocellaris (clown anemonefish) is the source of this 540-nucleotide long non-coding RNA. NCBI's taxonomy places the organism in Eukaryota, Metazoa, Chordata, Actinopteri, Pomacentridae. The record is from Ensembl.